RNAcentral lists this ribosomal RNA (490 nucleotides) under uncultured bacterium. RNAcentral describes it as "bacterial SSU rRNA". It matches the Rfam family "Bacterial small subunit ribosomal RNA", at positions 501 to 987 of the family's 1533-position model. The record is from RNAcentral.
CUACGUGCCAGCAGCCGCGGUAAUACGUAGGGCGCGAGCGUUGUCCGGAAUUAUUGGGCGUAAAGAGCUUGUAGGCGGUUUGUCGCGUCUGCUGUGAAAGGCCGGGGCUUAACCCCGUGUAUUGCAGUGGGUACGGGCAGACUAGAGUGCAGUAGGGGAGGCUGGAACUCCUGGUGUAGCGGUGGAAUGCGCAGAUAUCAGGAAGAACACCGAUGGCGAAGGCAGGUCUCUGGGCUGUAACUGACGCUGAGAAGCGAAAGCAUGGGGAGCGAACAGGAUUAGAUACCCUGGUAGUCCAUGCCGUAAACGUUGGGCACUAGGUGUGGGGGACAUUCCACGUUUUCCGCGCCGUAGCUAACGCAUUAAGUGCCCCGCCUGGGGAGUACGGCCGCAAGGCUAAAACUCAAAGAAAUUGACGGGGGCCCGCACAAGCGGCGGAGCAUGCGGAUUAAUUCGAUGCAACGCGAAGAACCUUACCAAGGCUUGACAU